RNAcentral lists this ribosomal RNA (407 nucleotides) under uncultured bacterium. RNAcentral describes it as "partial 16S ribosomal RNA". It matches the Rfam family "Bacterial small subunit ribosomal RNA", at positions 30 to 526 of the family's 1533-position model. The record is from RNAcentral.
AUUGAACGCUGGCGGCAGGCCUAACACAUGCAAGUCGAGCGGAGCGGCGGACGGGUGAGUAAUGCCUAGGAAGAUGCACGGUAGUGGGGGAUAACGUCCGGAAACGGGUACUAAUACCGCAUAAUAGAAGAUGGGCCUAGGUCGGAUUAGCUAGUUGGUGGGGUAAAGGCCUACCAAGGCGACGAUCCGUACCUGGUCUGAGAGGGUGAUCAGUCACACUGGAACUGAGACACGGUCCAGACUCCUACGGGAGGCAGCAGUGGGGAAUAUUGGACAAUGGGCGAAAGCCUUAUCCAGCCAUGCCGCGUGUGUGAAGAAGGUCUUCGGAUUGUAAAGCACUUUAAGUUGGGAGGCGUUACCAACAGAAUAAGCACCGGCUAACUUCGUGCCAGCAGCCGCGGUAAUAC